GGAUAUGGCGAAAUUGGUAGA
RNAcentral lists this transfer RNA (21 nucleotides) under Yucca brevifolia. RNAcentral describes it as "partial tRNA-Leu". Lineage: Eukaryota; Viridiplantae; Streptophyta; Magnoliopsida; Asparagales; Asparagaceae. The record is from RNAcentral.